CUUUGAAUACCAUUCGCCCAAUGUUGGUAAAAAGCCAUGGGGCAUGAUUUUGUUAGACAAACUUAUUUUGCCCGCUCUUUGGGUUUCUUUUAAUUAUGUGGCUGACAAAGGACUAAGAAGCACUCACUACACAAUGUGAAUUUAAGUAAAUGAAGCUUUUGGGAAACCUCUUUUAAAGGGAGUGGAAUGGAAUUCCAUUUCUCGAAGAGUCUAAUUUGUUGGUGCUGGUGAUUUUUCCAGGUACCUCCGAUCAGUAGUUCAGAACUUGUUACUAAUUCAGCGCUUCAAGAAACCUAUUACUGAACAUUCACCCAGGCAAGAACGGCUUAACUUCUGGUUGGAUAUAAUUUUUGAGGCAACAAAUGAAGUUACUAAUGGACUCAGAUUUCCAGUGCUGGUGAUAGAACCAACCAAAGUCUACCAGCCUUCAUAUGUCUCCAUAAACAACGAAGCUGAGGAGAAGAUGGUUUCUCUGUGGCAUGUCUCACCCGCGGAAAUG
Molecule: long non-coding RNA, 499 nt
Organism: Ailuropoda melanoleuca (giant panda)
Lineage: Eukaryota; Metazoa; Chordata; Mammalia; Carnivora; Ursidae
Exons: 2
Source: RefSeq, a predicted model, not a curated record